RNAcentral lists this long non-coding RNA (3051 nucleotides) under Homo sapiens (human). RNAcentral describes it as "non-protein coding lnc-LMF1-3:16". The record is from RNAcentral. Lineage: Eukaryota; Metazoa; Chordata; Mammalia; Primates; Hominidae.
GCCUGCCCCGCCCGGCGCCGCACCACGUGGGCCAGGCGCCCCACGCCUGGAGCUCCCCUCUCUGGAGCCCCGGGAAAGGAAGCGGGGCAGGGAGGCCGGGUGGGAGCAGGGGGGUCUCCGGCGCUUCCUCUCCUCUGCGGGCGCCGCGCGGCUCCUGAGAGUCCGCCCCCCGUCCUGACGCUCAGCUAGGAAGCGGGUCCUCGGGCCCCUCCCCCGACACACACACACACACACACACACACACACACACACACACACACUCUCUCUCUCUCUCUCUCUCUCUCUCUCUCUCUCUCUCUCUCUCACACACACACACACACACACAGCCCGUCUCGCGCCUGAGGUCUCGCCCGCAGGCCGGUGGCGCGGGGUCAGCUGCUGCCUGCGGUCCAGGACAGGGUCGGUUCCGCCGCGCAGCGCCCAGGCCCAGCUCGUCCAGAGUCUGCGGACAGCGCACGUCCAGGUAACGCGCUUCAAGGGGCCGCGGCUCGGAGCUGGGGGACCCCGGGCCGCCCUGCCCAUACGAGUGCGAGCGUGGAGAGCGCGGGCGGGGGCGCGGUCCCGGGGGCCGGCCAGCUGGAGGGGGCGGGAGCGCUGGGCGGGGCCUGCGCUGACCCCGGCGCUGAGUCCCUGGGGCCGCCGGGCGGAUGGCGUGGCCGGACGCGGGGGCCCCGGGCCUUCCGGGCGUGACCUAGGGCUCGGGGGCGGGGAGGCCCCUCCGGCGGGGCGGCCCUGGGUGGUCCGGCAGAGGCGGAGGCCGCUCCGAGCCUGUGAGCCCUGGGCGCCUGCGGAGGCGGGGAGAGGGCGGGGUGUGCCGCCCUGGUGGGGACCGCGGGGUCGGAGAGGGGACAUUGCCCCCCCCGAGGCGAACGUCCAACCGCGGGUCCGGGUCCCCGCCCAAGGCCGCCCCGCGAGGUGGCCUCGGCCCGGCCGUCCCCGAGGGUGGCUCGGAUCCUUUCAACCAGCGCGCUGGAGGCGAAGGGGCUGCGCCAUUCCGGGUCAGGCAGCCAACGCGGGACACGCGCGUCUCCGAGCUUGCGGCCCGCGAAACCCGGGUGACCUACCGCGCCGGUGCCCUCAAAGCCCCCACGCCCGGGCCGGUGGCCGCUGCAGCCACUGAGCCACGCGGUCUCCCCGGCCCGGUCGGCAGAAGGAGCUGGUCCGUUACUAGAAAAGUCCAGAUGCAAAGUCGGGGGUCGUGCUGCCGCUUCCUGCCAGCGCACCGCACCCACCUGGGGCCGCCACCGACCGCACAGGACGCGCCUCCUACCCCCUGUUCUGGCCCGGCCGAGAGCUGGUGCCCCCAGCGGCCGCCCGCCCCCGUCCGCAGACCCCGGGGCCCUUGCUGCUUUGCAUUGGGAACAACCGGAGCCAGGCCCGGAGCUGAGGGGGCCAGGGCCUUUGGAGGAAGCAUUGGCCUCCAGGCUGAAGAGCAAGGGCCGUGUCACCUGCCCGGAGGGCGGUCUCAUCUCUGCAGCCAGGUCAGAGGAAGCAGCGGUGGGGAGACGGAGUGCGCGAGUUGGGAGGCUCCACGCAUCGUAGGUGGAGAGCUGGCUGCCAGCCUGGCCUGCCCUCUCUUCCCCGUCCCACCAUCUCGCUUGGCUCCGGCACCUGCCUGGGAAGACCCACACCUCCGUCUGCAGUGCCUCUUCCCCCUGGAGGCCCUGCCCUCCGCUCGGGGUCCCCGCAUCCUUCCGUGGCCCUCAGAGCAUCGCCUGGGGCGCCCGCGGAACUCAUCUGUUAGGCCUGGGAUGCAGGCAGGCAGAAGUGGGGGUUUAAGUGGAAGCAGUGAGGGUGGGGGUCCGGUCCAAACUGUGCCACCUUCCACCCCCUGCCCCUGGGAGAGCAGACAUCGCCCACUCGGGCUCACAGUGCCAUCCGGGUGAGGACCUCCGUGGAGAGCUCUCUUUGCCAAAGAAAAGCAGUUGCAUUAGGUCUGCGAGCAGGCAGGGUGGCCUCUUCCUGGCUCCCCAUCCACCAAGGAAGCUUCAAGUCCCUGGGACACAGGCACUUUCCCACACAGGAUGGAGCCGGGCCACCCUCACAGCUCCUGCCCUGCAGACGCUGGCCUUGUGGAGGGAGGCAGGCAGCAGGAGCAGUGCUUUCUGGGCCUCUGUAGCCAGAGCUGGCCCUGCUGCAGCUUACGUCUGCCUGCAGCCCAGACGUCCUCCUGGUCCUCCUGAUGCCCCCGACCUCCACGGAGGACGAGCAUUUCCAGCCCAGCCCUCCCCAUCUUCACCUCGCACUCCCCUGACACACUGGGAGCCUCCUGAUCCGUGAACCCGCGCUGGCGGGAGUAGCUACUGACCGCUGGGGACCCCUGCCCAGGCUGUUCGCAUGUGGAAAGGAUUCAGGGAGCAGGCGAUGCCCAAAGCGUGGAGACCAGCACUGCUCUCUCCCCAGUGACAGUACAGCUGUGCCGUGUACAGGAGGGUGCUGUCUGACGCCAGACACCUGGACUACAGAUCGCAGCCUGAUUCCUGGUCAUUGCUCCACUGAACCCCAGACCCCAGCCUCGUUCUGGGCCCUCAUCCCCUAGAUCCAGGGACCCCAGCCCCAUUUCAGCCCUUGGGCCCUUGUAGGAUGCGAGGCCCUGGGCCCCAGCCCCCAGCCCAUCCGUGGCCCAGGCACUGGGGGGCUGAGGUCCUCUGAGAAGGGACACAGGGCCUGGGGGGCUCUCUCAGCCCAUCAGCAGGAGAGGACUGACUCCAGAAAAAUCAGCGUUUGUACCCACUCAGGCUGCCAAGACCUGUGUCCGUCCUUCCAAGCUCAACCUUCAGAGUUCAUGAGGCCCCUUGCCCAGAAUGUCCACAGAGUUCAUGAGGCCCCUUGCCCGGAAUGUCCACAUUUGAAACCUCCCAACACCGAGCCCCAUUUCAAGUAUAACCAGGAGGGAAAAUGGUGCUUGAAAUAAGCAUGCCACAAAGGAAAACCUGCUUUCUCGAAAUGGGCCCUGGCCGCCCAGGCCCUGACCUCCCCGGCCAGGAUGGAACGUUCCAGAGACCCAUUAGUGCCAAAGGCAAAUGAAAACACACCCUGUGAAAAUGUCUC